GCGAAUUAUUAGCAGUUGAUUCAAUAGCUUAGAUCAGCUUGCUGGACAAGCGAACACCGUAGAAAUACGUGCCGGUUCGAGUCCGGCCUUCGCACCA
Molecule: transfer RNA, 97 nt
Filed under: Escherichia coli
Lineage: Bacteria; Pseudomonadati; Pseudomonadota; Gammaproteobacteria; Enterobacterales; Enterobacteriaceae
Also listed under: 1 other name
Description: tRNA-Val
Source: RNAcentral